AGCGGCGGACGGGUGAGUAACACGUGGGCAACCUGCCCUGCAGACUGGGAUAACUCCGGGAAACCGGAGCUAAUACCGGGUAAUACAUCGCACCGCAUGGUGCAAUGUUGAAAGUUGGCUUUCUGAGCUAACACUGCAGGAUGGGCCCGCGGCGCAUUAGCUAGUUGGUAAGGUAAUGGCUUACCAAGGCAACGAUGCGUAGCCGACCUGAGAGGGUGAUCGGCCACACUGGGACUGAGACACGGCCCAGACUCCUACGGGAGGCAGCAGUAGGGAAUCUUCCGCAAUGGACGAAAGUCUGACGGAGCAACGCCGCGUGAGUGACGAAGGCCUUCGGGUCGUAAAGCUCUGUUGUUAGGGAAGAACAAGUACCGUUCGAAUAGGGCGGUACCUUGACGGUACCUAACCAGAAAGCCACGGCUAACUACGUGCCAGCAGCCGCGGUAAUACGUAGGUGGCAAGCGUUGUCCGGAAUUAUUGGGCGUAAAGCGCGCGCAGGCGGUCUUUUAAGUCUGAUGUGAAAGCCCACGGCUCAACCGUGGAGGGUCAUUGGAAACUGGAGGACUUGAGUGCAGAAGAGGAGAGUGGAAUUCCACGUGUAGCGGUGAAAUGCGUAGAUAUGUGGAGGAACACCAGUGGCGAAGGCGGCUCUCUGGUCUGUAACUGACGCUGAGGCGCGAAAGCGUGGGGAGCAAACAGGAUUAGAUACCCUGGUAGUCCACGCCGUAAACGAUGAGUGCUAGGUGUUGGGGGGGUUCCACCCUCAGUGCUGAAGUUAACACAUUAAGCACACUCCGCCUGGGGAGUACGACCGCAAGGUUGAAACUCAAAGGAAUUGACGGGGGCCCGCACAAGCAGUGGAGCAUGUGGUUUAAUUCGAAGCAACGCGAAGAACCUUACCAGGUCUUGACAUCCUCUGACAAUCCUGGAGACAGGACGUUCCCCUUCGGGGGACAGAGUGACAGGUGGUGCAUGGUUGUCGUCAGCUCGUGUCGUGAGAUGUUGGGUUAAGUCCCGCAACGAGCGCAACCCUUGAUCUUAGUUGCCAGCAUUCAGUUGGGCACUCUAAGGUGACUGCCGGUGACAAACCGGAGGAAGGUGGGGAUGACGUCAAAUCAUCAUGCCCCUUAUGACCUGGGCUACACACGUGCUACAAUGGACGGUACAAAGGGCAGCGACACCGCGAGGUGAAGCAAAUCCCAUAAAGCCGUUCUCAGUUCG
RNAcentral lists this ribosomal RNA (1221 nucleotides) under Pseudoalteromonas sp. MB135. Its description in RNAcentral is "bacterial SSU rRNA". It matches the Rfam family "Bacterial small subunit ribosomal RNA", at positions 94 to 1295 of the family's 1533-position model. The record is from RNAcentral. Lineage: Bacteria; Pseudomonadati; Pseudomonadota; Gammaproteobacteria; Alteromonadales; Pseudoalteromonadaceae.